ACGGAUGCUUAGCCCCGGGNUUGAAGCGGCAAAGCUCAAAUUUGCAAAUCUGGUUCGCCUUCGGUGUCCGAGUUGUAAUUUGAAGAUUGUAACCUUGGGGUUGGCUCUUGUCUAUGUUUCUUGGAACAGGACGUCACAGAGGGUGAGAAUCCCGUGCGAUGAGAUGCCCAAUUCUAUGUAAGGUGCUUUCGAAGAGUCGAGUUGUUUGGGAAUGCAGCUCUAAGUGGGUGGGUAAAUUCCAUCUAAAGCUAAAUAUUGGCGAGAGACCG
RNAcentral lists this ribosomal RNA (269 nucleotides) under Meyerozyma guilliermondii. RNAcentral's name for it is "partial 26S ribosomal RNA". The stretch from base 31 to 269 matches the Rfam family "Eukaryotic large subunit ribosomal RNA", at positions 104 to 336 of the family's 3401-position model. Lineage: Eukaryota; Fungi; Ascomycota; Pichiomycetes; Serinales; Debaryomycetaceae. The record is from RNAcentral.